Molecule: ribosomal RNA, 253 nt
Filed under: uncultured bacterium
Lineage: Bacteria
Description: partial 16S ribosomal RNA
Rfam family: Bacterial small subunit ribosomal RNA
Source: RNAcentral
UACGAAGGGGGCGAGCGUUGUUCGGAUUUACUAGGCGUAAAGGGCGCGCAGGCGGCCAUUCAAGUCAGACGUGAAAUCCCCAGGCUUAACCUGGGAACUGCGUCGGAUACUGGUUGGCUUGAAUCCGGGAGAGGGAUGCGGAAUUCCAGGUGUAGCGGUGAAAUGCGUAGAUAUCUGGAGGAACACCGGUGGCGAAGGCGGCAUCCUGGACCGGCAUUGACACUGAAAAGCGAAAGCCAGGGGAGCAAACGGG